RNAcentral lists this ribosomal RNA (252 nucleotides) under uncultured bacterium. RNAcentral describes it as "partial 16S ribosomal RNA". It matches the Rfam family "Bacterial small subunit ribosomal RNA", at positions 524 to 776 of the family's 1533-position model. The record is from RNAcentral.
UACGUAGGUCCCGAGCGUUGUCCGGAUUUAUUGGGCGUAAAGCGAGCGCAGGUGGUUUAUUAAGUCUGGUGUAAAAGGCAGUGGCUCAACCAUUGUAUGCAUUGGAAACUGGUAGACUUGAGUGCAGGAGAGGAGUGUGGAAUUCCAUGUGUAGCGGUGAAAUGCGUAGAUAUAUGGAGGAACACCGGUGGCGAAAGCGGCUCUCUGGCCUGUAACUGACACUGAGGCUCGAAAGCGUGGGGAGCAAACAGG